RNAcentral lists this ribosomal RNA (449 nucleotides) under uncultured bacterium. RNAcentral describes it as "partial 16S ribosomal RNA". It matches the Rfam family "Bacterial small subunit ribosomal RNA", at positions 29 to 523 of the family's 1533-position model. The record is from RNAcentral.
AACGAACGCUGGCGGCAGGCUUAACACAUGCAAGUCGAGCGCAUCCUUCGGGGUGAGCGGCAGACGGGUGAGUAACGCGUGGGGACGUACCCUUUCCUACGGAAUAGCUCCGGGAAACUGGAAUUAAUACCGUAUACGCCCUUAGGGGGAAAGAUUUAUCGGGGAAGGAUCGGCCCGCGUUGGAUUAGCUGGUUGGUGGGGUAAAGGCCUACCAAGGCGACGAUCCAUAGCUGGUCUGAGAGGAUGAUCAGCCACAUUGGGACUGAGACACGGCCCAAACGCCUACGGGAGGCAGCAGUGGGGAAUAUUGGACAAUGGGCGCAAGCCUGAUCCAGCCAUGCCGCGUGAGUGAUGAAGGCCUUAGGGUUGUAAAGCUCUUUCAGUAGGGAAGAUAAUGACGGUACCUACAGAAGAAGCCCCGGCUAACUUCUUGCCAGCCGCCGCGGUAA